ACGGAAGGCAGCAUUCUUGCCUCUUGCUCCAUGGCUUAAACUCUGACGCAGUGACGCCGCGUAUAGGAAGAAGGUUUUCGGAUUGUAAACUAUUUUAGACAGGGAAGACAAUGACAGUACCUGUAGAAUAAGCUCCGGCUAACUACGUGCCAGCAGCCGCGGUAAUACGUAGGGAGCAAGCGUUAUCCGGAUUUAUUGGGUGUAAAGGGUGCGUAGACGGGAAAUCAAGUUAGUUGUGAAAGCCCUCGGCUUAACUGAGGAACUGCAACUAAAACUAAUUUUCUUGAGUGCAGGAGAGGAAAGCGGAAUUCCUAGUGUAGCGGUGAAAUGCGUAGAUAUUAGGAGGAACACCAGUGGCGAAGGCGGCUUUCUGGACUGUAACUGACGUUGAGGCACGAAAGUGUGGGGAGCAAACAGGAUUAGAUACCCUGGUA
RNAcentral lists this ribosomal RNA (434 nucleotides) under uncultured Anaerobacterium sp. RNAcentral describes it as "partial 16S ribosomal RNA". It matches the Rfam family "Bacterial small subunit ribosomal RNA", at positions 341 to 792 of the family's 1533-position model. Lineage: Bacteria; Bacillati; Bacillota; Clostridia; Eubacteriales; Oscillospiraceae. The record is from RNAcentral.